Long non-coding RNA from Sinocyclocheilus grahami, 227 nucleotides. RefSeq lists it as uncharacterized. The record is from RefSeq and is a predicted model, not a curated record. Lineage: Eukaryota; Metazoa; Chordata; Actinopteri; Cypriniformes; Cyprinidae. The transcript is spliced from 3 exons.
CGGCAAACGUUAGCUGUUUAGAAAAAUAAAAUGAAUAUUCCCAUUACGUACGAUUUAUAAGGCUUAUUACAGGAAAAUCUAAAGUAUUGUCUGACAAGUCCUCCAGAUAUGGAUAUUAUGGAUCUUACAGUUCAGCUGGAUGGUGUUGUAAUGCGAAGUGUUACUCACAAGCAAUUAAAUCACGAAUGCGCUCCGGCAAUAAAGGAUGCGUUCUCAAGAACAGCUGU